Molecule: ribosomal RNA, 487 nt
Filed under: uncultured bacterium
Lineage: Bacteria
Description: partial 16S ribosomal RNA
Rfam family: Bacterial small subunit ribosomal RNA
Source: RNAcentral
AUUGAACGCUGGCGGCAUGCCUUACACAUGCAAGUCGAACGGCAGCACGGGUGCUUGCACCUGGUGGCGAGUGGCGAACGGGUGUGUAAUACAUCGGAACAUGUCCUGUAGUGGGGGAUAGCCCGGCGAAAGCCGGAUUAAUACCGCAUACGAUCUACGGAUUAAAGCGGGGGACCUUCGGGCCUCGCGCUAUAGUGUUGGCCGAUGGCUGAUUAGCUAGUUGGUGGGGUAAAGGCCUACCAAGGCGACGAUCAGUAGCUGGUCUGAGAGGACGACCAGCAAAAAUGGGAAUGAGACACGGCCCAGAAUAAUAAGGGAGGGAGCAGUGGGGAAUUUUGGAAAAUGGGCGAAAGACUGAUCAAGAAAUGCCGGGUGUGGGAAGAAGGAAUUCGGGUUGUAAAGCACGUUUGUCCGGAAAGAAAUCAUUGGACCUAAUACGGUCGGGGGGAUGACGGUACCGGAAGAAUAAGCACCGGCUAACUACGUG